AGUGAACGCUGGCGGUAGGCCUAACACAUGCAAGUCGAACGGCAGCACAGUAAGAGCUUGCUCUUACGGGUGGCGAGUGGCGGACGGGUGAGGAAUACAUCGGAAUCUACUUUUUCGUGGGUGAUAACGUAGGGAAACUUACGCUAAUACCGCAUACGACCUACGGGUGAAAGCAGGUGAUCUUCGUACCUUGCGCGUUUGAAUGAGCCGAUGUCGGAUUAGCUAGUUGGCGGGUUAAAGGCCCACCAAGGCGACGAUCCGUAGCUGGUCUGAGAGGAUGAUCAGCCACACUGGAACUGAGACACGGUCCAGACUACUACGGGAGGCAGCAGUGGGGAAUAUUGGACAAUGGGCGCAAGCCUGAUCAAGCCAUACCGCGUGGGUGAAGAAGGACUUCGGGUUGUAAAGCACUUUUGUUGGGAAAGAAAAGCAGCAGGUUAAUACCCCGAUGUUCUGACGGUACCCAAAGAAUAAGCACCGGCUAACUUCGUG
Molecule: ribosomal RNA, 492 nt
Filed under: uncultured bacterium
Lineage: Bacteria
Description: partial 16S ribosomal RNA
Rfam family: Bacterial small subunit ribosomal RNA
Source: RNAcentral